AUCACAGUAUUUGGCAUAAUGAAAGAGUUCAAUAACUAUUAGCUAUUAGUUUUACUUAUCACAUUGUACCUAAGAUAAAAUUUCUAUGUAUGUGUAAAUAAUGUAUAAGUCCUCCAUUAAUAUAUAAGAUCUUUAAGAAUAAGAAAAGAUAAUAACUUACCCCUUUUAGUGUCUAAAAUCCUGGAUUUGUGCAUUUUACCUUGAAGAAGCACAAACAGCACUUGUUGAAACACUGGUUGAAUGAAUCUGUUACUAGAGUUUAGACAAAGAAAUAUAGGACAGAACAGCUUUUCACCCUGAUAUGUGCCAAGGCAUUCUGUUGGACUUUAUGUACUUUACCUUAUUCAAUACCCACAACCACUCUGCGAAACAUAUAUUGAUCUUGCUCUAUAAGGAAAUUGAGACUCAAGGAAUUUAAAUAAUAUACCUCAAGUCAACAACUAGAAAGAAUCAAAGCCAGAAUUCCAAGCUAUUGCAUUUCUGACUCCAACUCCUAGGCUCUUGCUCCCUUGCUAUUUUGACACUAAGUAACAUCAUAAUGUCCCCAAGGGGUCUAGUAUGUGGACACCAAAAUCGCUUUUAGCACAGAUUACUAAUACAGUUCUCAGAGAGAUUUCAAACAAUUUAAAAAAGUAAUUUUUUUUUUUUUGAGAUGGAGUCUCACUCUGUUGCCCAGGCUAGAAUGCAGUGGUGCCAUCUUCACUCACUACAAUCUCUUCUCUCCUGCCUUAGCCUCCCUAGUAGCUGGGAUUACAGGUGUCUCCACCCUCUUCAAGUUAUGCCUUUGGAAUGGACCAUAAAACCGCAUUUCAAUUGUAAGUUGGCAUGUAAGUAAAUAAAACUUUUACAAGUAAUAUAAAUGAGUGUGUUGUCAAGAGGAUCCUAGGUAUGUAUAAAUCCUUUAAUUACAAUUUCUAGUGCUAAUGUUUAUCCUUUAAUUAGAGGUGUAUAGUAGGCUUCUUUGUGGGGGCAGAGGAGUAAACUGGAACCAUAUGGAUGCUGCCUCAUUUUCAUCUGAGCCCUUCCAGGGAUUGUAAACCUUAAAGUGGCAUUGGAACCCACUACUUUAGAAUCUGCUAAGAAAGGUGAGAACAGUAAGUCUUUGUGCAAAGGCUGAAUGUACAUAGGGAAGUGUAGCCCUAAAUCUGUUUGCUCCCACAUGUUUUUGCCCCGUUUUGCUUUGACUAAUUAUAUAAUCUGCGAUGUAAGAGAGCCAAGUGAUUUUACCUGUCUUGCUGAUUACACAGUUUGGAUUAGCCUUUUGGUAUGGGGUGGCUUUUAAUCGGCUUUAGAUUUGGAGCUAUAAACAAUAGGGCUUCCCUGAGAGAGAAAACUAUUGAGAAGACCAGAAAGAGAGAGAGACAGAAAGGACAGGAUUUGAUUUUGGUGAGGUAAAAACAACUCAGCCUCUGGGUAGGAAUUUUCGUUUGCUACUUAUUGGCUUUGUGCUUGGCAAGGUUUGAACUUCUCUGGAAUUGUUUCCUCAUCUACAAAAUGGGGAUAAUAACACCUUCCUAGCUAGGCAAUAAUGAGAUUUAGAGACAGUGUGUAUGAAGUGCCUGGCAUCUUGGAAGCCCAUGACAACUGUCUGAUAUAGUUAUUACAGGUUUUUUUUUUUUUAAUUGAAAGAGCUCAUCUUUCAGCAUUGUAAGCAGUCCUCAAAAAAACCAGGGUUCAGGGCAAAUGUGAUUACUGCUGAUGAUAACUUUUUUGGUGCCUUUUUCUUAUUUCCUUGCCCUUUUCAUGUCCCUUGUUUUCCUCUGAUUAAUGUUCCAAACUGACCCUUAUCAGCCUCUCUCCUUUUUUAUCAUACUUUCAGAAAAUUCAAAAUAAACUGCAGGGGCUGAUGAGACCAAAUAAUUGCAGACAGACUUUGUUUAGAAGUCAAAAAUCGCCUCUUUCCUUUGCCCUGACGACUUUUCUCCUUCUGGUCUUUUCUCUCCCUACAUGUCAGUAUUAAAAUGUAUUGUUAGAUCGACAGAUGCAUCACCUGACACUUUGGUGAGUGAAGACAUAGAUUUGGAUAAUAGACAUAGCUGAAACAUUUUCCUGGGGGUGUCCAGUUCUAUUAUUUACACAACCAUUGUUAUUCCAGAAAAUAACUGGUAGAUUCCUCCUCCAAACUGGUAAAGUUCUUAUAGAUGUGGACUAAGGAGCUGUUUUCCCAAGGGAUUCAUUAGAUUUUGAUUAGCCUCUAAUAUGUUUGUUCAAAAUGACAUGGAGGAUUUCCCCCAGGCCAGGCUGGGGUUGCCAGCUGUGACAGAGAUGGACAUUUAAUUUGUUUGUGAUUGGGUUGUCAAGGCUGGACAUUUGUCAUUUGAGAGUUCUACUUUACUCCUUUUCCCCAAAUCUACUUC
RNAcentral lists this long non-coding RNA (2357 nucleotides) under Callithrix jacchus (white-tufted-ear marmoset). RNAcentral's name for it is "lncRNA (ENSCJAG00000085804.1)". The record is from RNAcentral. Lineage: Eukaryota; Metazoa; Chordata; Mammalia; Primates; Cebidae.